This is a non-coding RNA of Fukomys damarensis (Damara mole-rat), 35 nucleotides long. The record is from Rfam. NCBI's taxonomy places the organism in Eukaryota, Metazoa, Chordata, Mammalia, Rodentia, Bathyergidae.
CUGUCUCCUGCUUCAGCAGUGCUUGGACAGAGCAG